This 119-nucleotide ribosomal RNA is filed under the name Pteropus alecto (black flying fox). The record is from RNAcentral. Lineage: Eukaryota; Metazoa; Chordata; Mammalia; Chiroptera; Pteropodidae.
AGCUACGGCCAUGCCACCCUGAACAAGCCUGAUCCCGUCUGAUUUCAGAAGCUAAGCAAGGGUGGGCCUGGUUAGUAGUUGGAUGGGAAACCACCUAGGAAAACCAGGUGCUGUAGGCA